This 502-nucleotide ribosomal RNA is filed under the name uncultured bacterium. RNAcentral's name for it is "partial 16S ribosomal RNA". It matches the Rfam family "Bacterial small subunit ribosomal RNA", at positions 30 to 523 of the family's 1533-position model. The record is from RNAcentral.
AUUGAACGCUGGCGGCAGGCUUAACACAUGCAAGUCGGGCGGGGUGAUGGUGCUUGCACUAUCACUUAGCGGCGGACGGGUGAGUAAUGCUUAGGAACCUCCCUAUUAGUGGGGGACAACAUCUCGAAAGGGAUGCUAAUACCGCAUACGUCCUACGGGAGAAAGCAGGGGAUAACUUGUGACCUUGCGCUAAUAGAUGAGCCAAGUCGGGUUAGCUAGUUGGUGGGGUAAAGGCCUACCAAGGCGACGAUCUGUAGCGGGUCUGAGAGGAUGAUCCGCCACACUGGGACUGAGACACGGCCCAGACUCCUACGGGAGGCAGCAGUGGGGAAUAUUGGACAAUGGGGGGAACCCUGAUCCAGCCAUGCCGCGUGUGUGAAGAAGGCCUUAUGGUUGUAAAGCACUUUAAGCGAGGAGGAGGCUCUUUUGGUUAAUACCCAAGAUGAGUGGACGUUACUCGCAGAAUAAGCACCGGCUAACUCUGUGCCAGCCGCCGCAGUAA